UGGGGAAUAUUGGGCAAUGGGGGAAACCCUGACCCAGCAACGCCGCGUGAAGGAAGAAGGUUUUCGGAUCGUAAACUUCUAUCCUUGGUGAAAAUAGUGAUGGUAGCCAAGAAGGAAGCCCCGGCUAACUACGUGCCAGCAGCCGCGGUAAUACGUAGGGGGCAAGCGUUGUCCGGAAUGAUUGGGCGUAAAGGGCGCGUAGGCGGCCUGUUAAGUCUGGAGUGAAAGUCCUGUUUUUAAGGCGGGAAUUGCUUUGGAUACUGGCGGGCUUGAGUGCAGGAGAGGUUAGCGGAAUUCCCGGUGUAGCGGUGAAAUGCGUAGAGAUCGGGAGGAACACCAGUGGCGAAGGCGGCUAACUGGACUGUAACUGACGCUGAGGCGCGAAAGUGUGGGGAGCAAACAGG
This 404-nucleotide ribosomal RNA is filed under the name uncultured bacterium. RNAcentral's name for it is "bacterial SSU rRNA". It matches the Rfam family "Bacterial small subunit ribosomal RNA", at positions 355 to 776 of the family's 1533-position model. The record is from RNAcentral.